GUUUUAAUAAUUUAAUAAAAAUAUUGAUCUUGUAAAUCAGAAAUAAGUUAGCCUUUUAAAACU
RNAcentral lists this transfer RNA (63 nucleotides) under Nosodendron sp. BMNH 840466. RNAcentral describes it as "tRNA-Thr". Lineage: Eukaryota; Metazoa; Arthropoda; Insecta; Coleoptera; Nosodendridae. The record is from RNAcentral.